RNAcentral lists this ribosomal RNA (523 nucleotides) under Rana chensinensis (Chinese brown frog). RNAcentral describes it as "partial 16S ribosomal RNA". It matches the Rfam family "Bacterial large subunit ribosomal RNA", at positions 1817 to 2569 of the family's 2925-position model. Lineage: Eukaryota; Metazoa; Chordata; Amphibia; Anura; Ranidae. The record is from RNAcentral.
CGCCUCUUGACAAACAUAAGAGGUCCAGCCUGCCCAGUGACAAAGUUCAACGGCCGCGGUACCCUAACCGUGCAAAGGUAGCACAAUCACUUGUUCUCUAAAUGAGGACUCGUAUCAAUGGCACUACGAGGGCUAUACUGUCUCCUUUUUCUAAUCAGUGAAACUGAUCUCCCCGUGAAGAAGCGGGGAUUAUAAUAUAAGACGAGAAGACCCCAUGGAGCUUUAAACUCACCAUGCACCUCUGUGCUACUAUACCCCUAUAACACAACAGACCUGCAUGUUAGUUUUAGGUUGGGGUGACCACGGAGUAUAACUUAACCUCCAUAACAAACGGGCUAAUACCCUUAUCCACGAGACACAACUCUAAGAAUUACUAGACUAAUGCUUACGACCCGAUAUUCGAUCCAUGAACCAAGUUACCCUGGGGAUAACAGCGCAAUCUACUUCAAGAGCCCAUAUCGACAAGUAGGUUUACGACCUCGAUGUUGGAUCAGGGUAUCCCGGUGGUGCAACCGCUACCAAU